GACAGCAGCAGCCACGGUAAUACGAAGGGUGCAAGCGUUAAUCGGAAUUACUGGGCGUAAAGCGUGCGUAGGCGGUUUGUUAAGUCUGCUGUGAAAUCCCCGGGCUCAACCUGGGAAUGGCAGUGGAUACUGGCAAGCUAGAGUGUGUCAGAGGAUGGUGGAAUUCCCGGUGUAGCGGUGAAAUGCGUAGAGAUCGGGAGGAACAUCAGUGGCGAAGGCGGCCAUCUGGGACAACACUGACGCUGAGGCACGAAAGCGUGGGGAGCAAACAGGAUUAGAUACCCCCGUAGUCCCUGUCUCUUAUAA
This 306-nucleotide ribosomal RNA is filed under the name uncultured bacterium. RNAcentral describes it as "partial 16S ribosomal RNA". It matches the Rfam family "Bacterial small subunit ribosomal RNA", at positions 507 to 809 of the family's 1533-position model. The record is from RNAcentral.